AUUGAACGCUGGCGGCAGGCCUAACACAUGCAAGUCGAACGAGUGGCGGACGGGUGAGUAAUGUCUGGGAACCUGCCUGAUGGAGGGGGAUAACUACUGGAAACGGUAGCUAAUAACGCCUACCAUCGGAUGUGCCCAGAGGGGAUUAGCUAGUAGGUGGGGUAAAGGCUCACCUAGGCGACGAUCCCUAGCUGGUCUGAGAGGAUGAUCAGCCAAACUGGGACUGAGACACGGCCCAGACUCCUACGGGAGGCAGAAGUGGGGAAUAUUGCACAAUGGGCGAAAGCCUGAUGCAGCCAUGCCGCGUGUAUGAAGAAGGCCCUAGGGUUGUAAAGUACUUUCAGUCGGGAGGCGUUACCGAAAGAAGAAGCACCGGCUAACUCCGUGCCAGCCGCCGCGGUAAUUC
Molecule: ribosomal RNA, 406 nt
Filed under: uncultured bacterium
Lineage: Bacteria
Description: partial 16S ribosomal RNA
Rfam family: Bacterial small subunit ribosomal RNA
Source: RNAcentral